ACUCCUACGGGAGGCAGCGGUGGGGAAUUUUGGACAAUGGGCGCAAGCCUGAUCCAGCCAUUCCGCGUGCAGGACGAAGGCCUUCGGGUUGUAAACUGCUUUUGUACGGAACGAAAAAGCCUUGGCUAAUACCCAGGGUCCAUGACGGUACCGUAAGAAUAAGCACCGGCUAACUACGUGCCAGCAGCCGCGGUAAUAC
RNAcentral lists this ribosomal RNA (199 nucleotides) under uncultured bacterium. RNAcentral's name for it is "partial 16S ribosomal RNA". It matches the Rfam family "Bacterial small subunit ribosomal RNA", at positions 335 to 526 of the family's 1533-position model. The record is from RNAcentral.